Saccostrea cuccullata (small rock oyster) is the source of this 330-nucleotide long non-coding RNA. RefSeq lists it as uncharacterized. The transcript is spliced from 3 exons. The record is from RefSeq and is a predicted model, not a curated record. Lineage: Eukaryota; Metazoa; Mollusca; Bivalvia; Ostreida; Ostreidae.
CCCAUUCAAUUAGAAUGGAUAUCUGUUGAAAUGCAAGAAAAAUUUAACAGCUCUCAUUAAAUUGCAGGUUUAUGAAGGAAUCGUUCUGAAAGGCACAGAAAAACUUACUCCACUAAAGUGGAUAUUGAGGUUGAUCAUUGAUGAUAGGUUCAAGCUGAAUUUUUUAAGCUUGGUACUGAGGAUAUUGAAGAGAAAAUAGAAUGUGACAAUGAACAGUGUCCAGCUGUUUCUCAACACACCUCAGGGGUGGAAGAGCAAUCCAGUCAGAAUACAGAGUUUUGUCUGAGUCAGUCAUCCUAAGGAACUGUAUGUGACUACUGGAGACGACCC